Long non-coding RNA from Monopterus albus (swamp eel), 1004 nucleotides. RefSeq lists it as uncharacterized. The record is from RefSeq and is a predicted model, not a curated record. The transcript is spliced from 3 exons. Lineage: Eukaryota; Metazoa; Chordata; Actinopteri; Synbranchiformes; Synbranchidae.
CUGCAAAAUAAUAAUAACGCGGCUGAACGAGACGAAAUAACGUUAUAACAUUUCGUUUCGGUCAACGAAAACGAAGAGACAUUUUGGAUUGUUUUUAUUUUGUGAACCACAUUUAGUCUCGUUUUUUUGUCAACGAUAUUGCAUUAUACUUUUAGUUAGAGUCAUCGUCACAUGACCAGCAUUUUCGUUGCGUCUCGUCUCGUUUUUGUCACGCGACAAAGUUUCGUUGACGACCAUAUUUAGUCAUAAUUUUUGUUGACGAAAGCAACACUACUUCUAAGGCCAGUUACUGGUUAUGAGGCAGGACUAAAGCAGUUUAGCCAUGAACCAGAGGCCCCCGACUAUGGUUUGGGGCCGCAAAUCUGGGCGAGUAACACUGUAUUCGAGAAAGUUCAAACUAAAAAGAAGUUGGAUGCUGCAAGAAGUAAAACCAGAAUUAACAUUGGCGUGGCUUCUGAAUGACAGCGACAGCUGAGAGAACAAAGGGGGCUGAAAAGUGAUGGCAUUGCAGCCAUAUUUCUGCUGGACAGGGCUGGCUAAGGAGAGAAGUCAGAAGAAAAAGGUGGGAUUUCUUCUUUUGGCUACUUUCAAAAUCCAGCUCUCACUUGCUGGUUUUUCCAGGAUCACCAGCCCUACUGUAAAUCUUUGUGGAUUAUGGGCCAUAGUACCCAUACCCUCUUCUGGCCAGCUGCCACUGAGCCAAAGGAAGAUUGUGAAUGGAAAAGUCAGUUGCAUCUGGCCAUGUUGGAAGGUAUAAAUGCAGACACUGGCAGUGGGGACAUUUUUCUGACGUCUUCAGCUUCUGACUAUGUUGUUCUAAAGACAAUCAUAAAACAUCAAAAUCAAAGAUUAAAACAUUUGCAACAAACAGUUUUCCCUUUAAACAUUUCUUUUCUAACAAUAAUUGACUUAACUAACCUCAGUGCUCAGUAGUGUUUGUAGAGACACUGUAAAUAGACUUCCAGUGUAAUAUAUUAAAGAUGUCAUGGUUAACUCACUUCCUG